RNAcentral lists this long non-coding RNA (1511 nucleotides) under Nicotiana tabacum (common tobacco). Its description in RNAcentral is "long non-coding RNA (NTAB_LNC017380)". The record is from RNAcentral. Lineage: Eukaryota; Viridiplantae; Streptophyta; Magnoliopsida; Solanales; Solanaceae.
GAGAGGAAAUAUGCAAUUAAAGUCACAAAAAUUGAGAAAAAUAAUUAAAAUAACAAAACACUAAUAACUUUAGGAGGUGUUAAAAUAGUGCAAAAAUUAGGUGUUCACAACUGCCCCUCUUUGCUCGAGAAUAUGAAGAGUUUUCGUGCAAAGAAAAAUGAAUGUCAUAGUUAAUUUUUGCUCACAUGUCACUCCAAUGGAAGCAAUUUUUUUUUUUUUGAAAAAAGGUGACCAAACCUUGCUUCCGAGGCUGCCUACAUAUCCUUGGCUAUAAAGGAAUCAGGUCGGUGUAGUUUUGGAAAUAUUUGGUAGCUGGGACUACCGGAGACUAGAGUUGAGACUGUUGUUGCUGUUGCUGUCGUUGUUGCUAUUGCUGUUACUCGCUUCUUACAUCAAAAAAGAAAAAGAGAAGAGUACUAUAUAUGUCUGCAAACUAAGAGUACAAAAUUCCUAUCUAUGCGUCUUUUGGAGUCAAAUCUUGAUUCUUGACCUGCUCGCUUGCGUUGACCUUAGAUUGGAUUUUGAUACUCUUUAAAGAAACGAUUAUGACUCAAUUUCACUUGCUUGCUUUCCUGAUCUGAAAUAGAGAAGAUGAAUCUUGAGAAGCUGGGUUACUGACACAUUGUCAAAGUUAACUCCAACUAUCAUGUGAUCGAAAAACUUCUUCCUUCUGAUGAGAAACUGAAACUGCAAGCUUUAAUCUUCACUUGUGCCAUACGUCCGAGCCUACAAAACCAUCAAAGACAAACAAAAACGAACAAAAAAAAAUUCUGCCCCAGUCUGGCACUAGAAAAUUUUUGUGAGUUAUUAGAGAAAUCUGUAAAUUAUCUAAUUUAUUGAAAAGGCAGACAGAAAUAGUAGUAUAAACUAGCUAAAAGAGAUAAAAUUUGGUAACGAAUGAUUGUGUAACCAGGGAUCGGUAUCUCGUACUACUGAAAGGAAAUGUAAUCAGGGGCUGGUACUUUCUCUUACUAGAAGGAAAUAGAAUCGGGUGUUAUCACCAUGUAUUAUUGAUAAAGUGUUGAAUCCUUUUAGGUGAAAAAAGGAUCGAUCUGAGUUAAACUGUAUUAAACAACCUGAGCGAAGAUUACUUCUACCCGAAACUACGAACUGGAUCCCCCUAGGCGAAACGGUUCUACCUGGGUUAAGCUACGUAAAACACCCUGAGCGAAGAUUACUUCUACCCAGAACUACGAACUGGAUCCCCUAGGCGAAACGGUUCUACCUGGGUUAAGCUACGUAAACAACCUAGAGCGAAGAGUACUUCUACCCGGAAACUAGGAGCUGGAUCCCCCUAGGCGAAACUGUUCUACCUGAGUUAAGCUACGUAAAACACCCUGAGCAAAGAGUACUUCUACCCAAAAAUUAUAAGCUGGAUCCCCCUAGGAGAAACGGUUAUACCUGGGUUAAGCUACGUAAAACACCCUGAGCGAAGAGUACUUCUACCCGGAAAUGGUUCUACCUGGGUUAAGCUACGUAAAACAACCUGAGCGAAGAGUACUUCUACCCGG